Molecule: long non-coding RNA, 2849 nt
Organism: Ictalurus punctatus (channel catfish)
Lineage: Eukaryota; Metazoa; Chordata; Actinopteri; Siluriformes; Ictaluridae
Source: Ensembl
CUAAUUUCAUAUUUAAUUUUGAGGACCCGCACACACACACACACACACCACACACACACACAUACACACACAAGAAGAUAUAAUAUCUGCUUCUACAUCUUGUCACGUUAGCAUCGCCAGUAAAUUAAGCAUAAAACUGGUGUUUAUAUACCCUGAAUAUAUAUUUUUAUUUACUUACUGCAAUGCUAAUUUGUGGCGUAUUGUUUACUAUAAUGCUAGUUCAAGUGUUAGCUUCUUUACUAUAAUGCUAGUUAAAAUGUUAGCUUCUUUACUAUAAUGCUAGUUAUAGUGUUGACUUCUUUACUAUAAUGCUAGUUCAAGUGUUAGCUUCUUUACUAUAAUGCUAGUUAAAAUGUUAGCUUCUUUACUAUAAUGCUAGUUAUAGUGUUGACUUCUUUACUAUAAUGCUAGUUCAAGUGUUAAUCUGUUUACUAUAAUGCUAGUUCGUGUUAGCUUCUUUACUAUAAUGCUAGUUAUAGUUGUAAUCUGUUUACUAUAAUGCUAGUUCGUGUUAGCUUCUUUACUAUAAUGCUAGUUUAUAUGUUAGCUUCUUUACUAUAAUGCUAGUUCAAGUGUUAGCUUCUUUACUAUAAUGCUAGUUCAAAUGUUAGCUUCUUUACUAUAAUGCUAGUUCAGUGUUAGCUUCUUUACUAUAAUGCUAGUUCAAGUGUUAGCUUCUUUACUAUAAUGCUAGUUCAAAUGUUAGCUUCUUUACUAUAAUGCUAGUUCAAGUGUUAGCCUCUUUACUAUAAUGCUAGUUCAAGUGUUAAUCUGUUUACUUCACUGCUAGUUGAAGUGUUAGCUUCUUUACCAUAAUGCUAGUUCAAGUGUUAAAGAGCUAACUGUAAUGCUAGUUCAAGUGUUACUGAUUGCUAUAAUGCUAGUUAAUGGGUUAAAAUGAUAUCCACCGUGCUAGUUACUGUGUUAGCUAUUUCAGGAUUAUGCUAGUUCAGGUGUUAGCCUGAGGAGAAUAGCGCUCAGCAACAGGUUCAAAUCAUUACUAUAAUGCUAAUUACCGUGUUAGCUAGUUCAUGAUUUCGCGUGAACGUGUUUAACCCGUUCUGUACAGCGCUAGUUUGUGGGUUAGCCUGUAACCAGUUUGAUCAUAGCCUACUACAAAGAUGAAUCGCUUCUAUGUUUUGAUAAACAUUUGAUCUAGUUAGCUUAUUGUCAUUAAAAGGAGACAGGAAUAUCAACAUUUACCUCAGAUAUGUUGGGAGGAAGGAUACACUUUAAUCACACUUAGCAUCGACUGCGAACUGGAUUCCUGCGAGUGAUCACCUAGGUAACUCGUGUUUUUAAACCACGCUGCGUUACUAACUAGCUAUGCUAGUUUAUCUAACGUAUUUACGAUUGUACGAUUCUCCGUAACGCUUGAAAUCGAUAUAGACACUAAAUAAAAACCGUUUAAGGGAAUAAACGUUGAUUAGUUUAGACGAGGCGCACUUUCAGGAUCUGUGAGGACUACGUGACGCGAAUCGUAGAAUAAAUAAAUAAAGUGUCUUUCUUUCCACCUCUUUUAGCAUUUUUUUUUUGUAAACUGACAAGAAAUAGUAAUAUCAUGCUUGGAUAAGAGUUCUGACUCGAUGAAGUCGGACGUAUUUUUAUUACGAGAGCUUAAACGUCAGCGCACGCGGCGGUUAGCGUGCAUCGGAUUUAUGCUAACUCUCGGAAACGUGGCGUUUCGGCCUACGGAGUGACACGGCUCUCUUUUUCCAACUUAAACAGAUAACUGAGAGGGAAAUAAAAUUUAAAAGAUCUUUUAAAAAAAAAAAAAAAAAAAAAAAAAAAAAAAAGGACUUGAAGUAAGAUAAGUACUGUAUUUACAACCACUCUGCUGAAGCGCAAUCUCUCAACAGGCACCACAACACACACACACACACGAAUGAAACAGCGGCGUAGGGUUUAAAUAAGGCUGUCUGAAUUCGGUCUGAUAAAGAGCCGGUGGAACCCACGCCAUAAAUAAACGCUGGAGUUGCAUUUUAAGGUGAUAAAUAUUAUAGAGGCAAGCGGAACCGUAUUUAAAACGCCGCGCUCUGCGCUUCCCGCCGAGAGAUUAAGAUCCUUUCCGUUUAAAGAUAAUCAAUUGUUUUAUUUUAUUCGGCUCCAGCCGGGGCCUCCGUAACGGACUCUAAUAAACGCUGGAGAUCUGCGCGCCAUUAAUCUACAUGUUCUGGAAAUGUAGGCAAUUGUCAAAGUGCAGCCCGUGGAUAUUCCAUCACGCAUGCAAUUGGCUUUUCUCCUGCUGCACAAUUCAUUUGCGGCGUAAUGCGCCCAAUAAAAAUGUAUUCCGACCGCUCUAUUGAUUGUGAAAUAGCUUAAUCUCCAGCAGCAGAAAGAGAUGAAUAUGGCCAUUUUCUCCCGCGAGUACUGUUUUACUCCAUCCUCACAUGAAUUAUCGCUGCAGAGGGCUUAGUGCGAGAUCCUUAUUCUGCAUUGUGUGCGUGUGUGUGUGUGUUUUUCAUUGUUGUUGCGUAGCAGAGAUGAGAGAGACGUCUCGAACGCACUGCAUGAUGCUCUGAGGGAGUCAAAGUCACAGAGGCCUGACAGUGGAGUGUGUGUGUGAGUAGUGUGAAUUGUGUGUCAAGUAGUGUUGUGUGUGCUGAGUGGCCUGUCGUGUGUGCGGUUGUAUAGUGUGUGUGUAUAGAGUUUACAGUGUGUAUCGUGUGUGUGUAUAUACUGUGUGUAGGUUAGUGUAGUAGGUAGAGUCUGUAAAGUGUGUACACUGGUGUAAUGUAUAUAGUGUGUGUGUGUAGUGUAUAUUGAAUGGGGUAGUGUAUACAAUGUGUGUAGCGUAUAGUCGCAAACAAAGGUAUUCACCCCCCAGUGCAGAUCAAGUUUACUGUCGG